Molecule: long non-coding RNA, 1363 nt
Organism: Rosa chinensis
Lineage: Eukaryota; Viridiplantae; Streptophyta; Magnoliopsida; Rosales; Rosaceae
Exons: 3
Source: RefSeq, a predicted model, not a curated record
UUGAUUCGAAUACUAAGUACUACGGAAUUCUAAUUCUAAGCAUAAAUGGCCUAAAAAACUCUCUCCUAGGGUUUGCUCCAAAUAACCCGGAUUGCGACUUGGUUACUGAGAUUCUCCUCUCGUCCGGUGGCGCUCGUCGGCGCUGCCAUGCAGAUUUGGGCUGUUGCCGGGCGGGAACUUGAAUACUAUUGCCUUGGUGGUUCCAUGAGUGUAUGGUUGGGCUCGGGCUUUUAGUCGGAUUGGGUGACGGUGGAGUCCAGGCGGUAAUUCUGACUCGAGGUCAGACUAUACAGGGAUGGCGGUUUUCGUCAAGGGCCUACGGCGGCGUCUUCGUCACUAGAUUUCCAGGACUAGUGGCGGCGGUGGCUUUGGUGGAUUCUGGUUUGAUCGUUUUUGGAGGCACGGCGUUAGUGGUCUGGGCGGAUUGCUAUGGUGGCGUGGCUAUGGAGGGUCGGGUCGGAUUGUGGAGGCGACGUGGCUUGGUGGUUCUUGGCGGUCUUCGUGGGGGUAGGAGCGGCAGCUGGUUUCUUGAUGGUGGUGGUUGGUGGCCGUGCGUGUGGCUCGGGAGUGGGAUGAUGUUGUUUUGGGCUCGGGUCACCCUGGUCCGCUGGCCCUCUUAGGCUUUAAUUUGGGCUAGGGUACUUUUCCCUAAGCCCAGCCCUAUGUUUUUAGCUCAUCUAUUUACAAUAAUUUCCUUGUAUUAGGAAGCUAUGCACUCUAUGUAUUUCUAGCGCCUCUAGAGUAGUACUAAAUGAGGGUCUCCGCUACCUCUACGUAUUUGAUUGUAUAAUGAGUACAUCAUUCUCACUAUCCGUAGUGAUAAAGUUGCCAAAGUCGUGUUGACCCUUCUUAGGUGUGAUUUGAAAAAACUAUCAGAUGAUGAGUGUUGGCUUAUAUUGAAGGAUAAAGCAAUCCCAGCUGGCAGUGCUGCUACAUCUGAAUAGCAGGAGACAAUCGGAAGAGAGAUUAGUGAAAAAUGUGGAGGUCUACCAUUAGUGGCAAGGAUUACAUACAGCUGUCAUGCAACCAUACACAGUCAUUUGGUGCAGGCAAAACCAUUCUCUGAACAAAUAAAAUUCAGAGAAGCUUAUGCAGAUCCCUACACAACAUUUAUCAUCUGAGGCAUUGAUUUGUUCAUUGACACACACAGGAGGGAAGGCUUUUCCCUGCAGAAGGUUACCGAAUUGUGUUUGAGUCAUAAGGACAAGCAAUUCUGUAAUUUCAUGAAGUACAAGGUAUGCUUUUCAAAUUAUUAGACUAUCCUGUAUUCUCUUUAUAGCUUUAUAAGACUGAUUUUGAUGGAGAUAUUAACAUAUGCGAUAGAGAAAAAUAAAACGUUGCUGGUUGUCAGUGUUGAAGGAUA